GUCCCCAUCGCCUAGUGGCCCACGACUCCGCCCUCUCACGGCGGAACAGUGGUUCGAACCCCCUUGGGGACGCCA
Molecule: transfer RNA, 75 nt
Filed under: Methylococcus sp.
Lineage: Bacteria; Pseudomonadati; Pseudomonadota; Gammaproteobacteria; Methylococcales; Methylococcaceae
Description: tRNA-Glu
Rfam family: tRNA
About the family: Transfer RNA (tRNA) molecules are approximately 80 nucleotides in length. Their secondary structure includes four short double-helical elements and three loops (D, anti-codon, and T loops).
Source: RNAcentral